UAAUUCUUCAGCCUACUCUUCCCGGAUUUGCUAGUCUUAUGGCUCUUUACCGGACUCAGAUAGAAUCUAAACAUACUCUUCUCAAGGUUUUCUUGGCUGCACGUACCAACAUUUGCGUUUCUCUGGAGAAGAUGAUGAUUUUGUUUGCCUUCAAUGCCAUUAACCAAUCCAUCACAAGAGUUUCUUCCAGCCUCAACACUGUUAAUAGAUCCAUGAAACAGACCAUCACAAGAGCUUCUUCCACCUUCAAAGCCACUGACAAUGUUAGCACCACUACGCACGCCAUCGCAAGACUUUCUCGCACUUACACUAUAGCUUUUCAAAAGCUUCUCACUAACACCAACAUUGGUUUCUCCUUUACCUACUCUCCUAAGCUUUAACAGAGAUUCAGCCAAAGAACCCUCAACCGCAUUUCCUUCAAGUUUCAAAAUUUGCUCAGUCUUUAUCUCGUUCUUCGCCUCGUUUUUCCUCUGUAUCAAUCCCCAAAUGUUCCAUCCCUUUGGCCAUUUCUUUCUAGGUUUCUUUAACUCAACACUAUCCUGCUUCUUCCCCUCACCACCAGCAGCAAUACAAAUCUUUCCUUUAGAAACUAAUUCUUUACUCUCUGGUUUGACAUUUUUAAUCGAAUACCAAUUCGAAUCCCUAAGUUCCUUCUCUGUAACCAAUAACUUAGCACCAUGAAACAAACCUACAGUUUCAGGUGAUACCUUUGCAUUCGAUAUACCUCUCAAUUCAUCAACCUCAAGCAAUCCUUGUCUCUUAAUCGAAACCGACCGAUCAAAACUCCUUCUCCGACGAGAAUCCGAGUAAUAGUUCUUCGUUUGAACCGUCCCACCUGGACUCUUCUCCUUCUCCUCUACUUCUUCUUCUUCAACACCACAUUUAGCUUUAGCAUCUUCCGUCACAG
Arabidopsis thaliana (thale cress) is the source of this 907-nucleotide long non-coding RNA. RefSeq annotates it as other RNA. The record is from RefSeq. Lineage: Eukaryota; Viridiplantae; Streptophyta; Magnoliopsida; Brassicales; Brassicaceae. The transcript has a single exon.